UACAGAGGGUGCAAGCGUUGUUCGGAAUUAUUGGGCGUAAAGGGCGCGUAGGCGGUGCGGUAAGUCGGGUGUGAAAUCUCGGGGCUUAACUCCGAAACUGCAUUCGAUACUGCCGUGCUUGAGGACUGGAGAGGAGACUGGAAUUUACGGUGUAGCGGUGAAAUGCGUAGAUAUCGUAAGGAAGACCAGUGGCGAAGGCGGGUCUCUGGACAGUUCCUGACGCUGAGGCACGAAGGUCAGGGGAGCAAACGGG
This 253-nucleotide ribosomal RNA is filed under the name uncultured bacterium. Its description in RNAcentral is "partial 16S ribosomal RNA". It matches the Rfam family "Bacterial small subunit ribosomal RNA", at positions 524 to 776 of the family's 1533-position model. The record is from RNAcentral.